RNAcentral lists this long non-coding RNA (1573 nucleotides) under Macaca fascicularis (crab-eating macaque). Its description in RNAcentral is "lncRNA (ENSMFAG00000065079.1)". The record is from RNAcentral. Lineage: Eukaryota; Metazoa; Chordata; Mammalia; Primates; Cercopithecidae.
AAAUAUGAGAAGAAGAGAGAAAUCUCCUGUAAGAAGAAUUCCAGGUAAUUUAUGUAGACAUUCUACCCUCAAGGAGAGGGAGCCUAGUGAGGGCUGCAUCAGUGACUUCCUUCCAAAGGGUAUGGAAAGGGAGUUAAACAAAAGAAAAAGAAAAAGAAGACUUUAUAACGUAGGAACCUGUAAAACGCGACCUCAAGCCAGGUGUUAUAGUUGGAUAUUUGUACCCUCAAACUACAAGUUGAAAUUUGAUGCCCAGUGUUGAAAGUAGGGGCCUAAUGGGAAGUAUUUGGGUCAUGGGGUUAGAUCCCUCAUGAAUAGAUUAAUGCCCUCCCUGUGUGUUGGGGAAUAAGUAAGUUCUCAUUCUUAUUAGUUCCCAUGAGAGCUGGUUGUUAAAAAAAGCCUGACACCUUUCCUCUGCUUUGCUUCCUCUCUUAUCCUGUGAUCUCUGCACAUGCCAGCUCCCCUUCCCUUUCUACCAUGAGUGGAAGCAACUGGAGAUCCUCACUGGAUGCAGAUGCUGACACCAUGCCUGCAGAACCAUAAGCCAAAUAAAUCUCUUGUCUUUAUAAAUUACCCAGCCUUAGGUAUUCCUUUAUAGUACUCUAAAUGGAGUAAGACACCAGAUGAUCCAGGUUAACAUCAACCAUGGUUAAUCAUGUUGAUAUUAUGUACCCUUGACAUGAUGUGAUGAAAAUGGCAUUUUGCUGUGGUCUUCCCCCUACAAAUCCCAUUACCCCAGCGUAAUCAUGGGUGAAAAAUCAUACGAAUUGCAACCAAGGAACGUUCCUCAAAAUACCUGACCAGUACUCUUCAAAACUAUCAAGGUCAUCUAAAACAAGGAAAGACUGAGAAACUAUCACAGCCAAGAGAUGCCUGUGGAAAUGUGACAGCUAAAUGAAAUAUUGGUAUCCUAGAUGGGAUCCUGGGAAAAAAGACGGUAUUAAGUAAAAACUAAGGGAAUCUGAAUAAAGUACAGAAUUUAGUUAAUAAAAAUGCAUUAGGAUUGAUUUAUUAGUUGUAACAAAUGUAUCGUACUAAUGUAAGAUGUUAAUAAUAGGGAAAACUGGCUGUAGGUUGUAUGGGAACUCUGUACUGUAGUAUCAGAAGUUCUCUAAAUUGAAAACUAUUCAUGGCUGGGCACAGUGGCUCAUGCCUGUAAUCCCAGCACUUUGGGAGGCUAAGGCAGGAGGAUCACUUGAGAUCAGGAGUUCGAGACCAGCUCGGCCAACAUGGUGAAACCCUGUCUCUACUAAAAAUACAGAAAUUUGGGCCAGGCACGGUGGCUCAAGCCUGUAAUCCCAGCACUUUGGGAGGCUGAGACGGGCGGAUCAUGAGGUCAGGAGAUCGAGACCAUCCUGGCUAACACGGUGAAACCCUGUCUCUACUAAAAACUACAAAAAACUAGCCGGGCGAGGUGGCGGGCGCCUGUAGUCCCAGCUACUCGGGAGGCUGAGGCAGGAGAAUGGCAUGAACCCGGGAGGCGGAGCUUGCAGUGAGCUGAGAUCUGGCCACUGCACUCCAGCCCGGGCAACAGAGCGAGACUCCGUCUCAAAAAAAAAAAAAAAAAAAAAAA